Molecule: long non-coding RNA, 1678 nt
Organism: Mus pahari (shrew mouse)
Lineage: Eukaryota; Metazoa; Chordata; Mammalia; Rodentia; Muridae
Exons: 3
Source: RefSeq, a predicted model, not a curated record
CUGAAUCACCACAGCCUUGCCCCUGGACGAUAGCUAGAGCCUUCGCCUUCUGCCCAGCAUUCCCUGACGCACGCCUGUCCCUAGCCACGCCUGAUGAUCUGAGAGGCAGGGUCUCCAAGACUUAGCCAGUAGGGAGAGCUGGGUGAAUGGAUCCAAUCUGAGAUAGUGCUCUUGCGUGGGUUCCAUGGUGACGGCCACACCCACCCCGCUGCGGCCAGAUGUCAUGCGGGUCACUUCACUCCAGGUGUCACUGUCUGGGUCAUAGCAUUCCACACUGUCCAGAAAAGUGUGGCCAUCAUAGCCUCCUGCAGGGAGAAUGAAGAGAAUGGUCACCCCCUUCCAGAGGGCUCAGCCCUCUGAAUGGCGGCAGAGAACAGAAGGGAAAAGAAGCCCCCUGUUUACGAUGGCUAGGUUGGGGGUGGAAUGUAGCUCAGUCUAGAGCUCCUGCCUAAAUUUCCCAGUGAAGGUGGGGUGCAGGGUGGAAAGUGUUGCAAGAAUGGGUAGGGAGCGGCUCUGUAGUAGAGCUUCGACCCAGAAUCCCCCAGUGGGGCGUGGCACAAUUAAAGAACACUUGCCAAGCAUUCGGGAAUCUCUGGCUUCUAUACUCAGCACCAAAACUUGGAGAAGAAAAGAUAUAGACACUCAAGCAUGGUUUUCACCCUGACCCAGCCUCCGAGGGCCUCACCGAGGACGUAGAUCCUGCCCUGGUGCACGGUAAUCCCCAGCGCACUGCGGCGAUGCUUCAUGGGGGCUACAAAAGUCCAGGUCUCUGUCUCCACGUCGUAGCGCUCCACGCUGUUCAGCUGGUCCUGCCCAUCGUAGCCCCCUGCUGCAUAGAUACAGUUGUGCAGCACGCAGACCCCUAAAGGAAAGCACACAGUGGGAGUCACCCCAAGCCUGAUCUGGGGCAGGGGGCGGGGCCACUGGACAAGGGACCUUAGUAGCCACUGCCCUUCCCUCCACCACUGGAGAAGCCGGAGUAGGAGGAUCAGGAGUUCAAAGUCAGCCUCGGCGACAUAAGGACUUCGAGGGCAGCCUCAGUCAUGUAAUGGAAGGGAGGAGGGUAAAGGAAACCCUUCCUCGCUGGGCUGCGGACGUCCUCACUCCACUCCCCACUCACCGGCCCCACUCCGGAUGGUAUUCAUCGGUGUGAUCAUCCGCCACUCAUUCCUCUCUGGAUAGUAACAUUCUGCUGAGUUAAGCCGGUUAGUCCCGUCAAAGCCCCCCACUGCAUACAGCAAGCGGUUGAGCACUGCCACGCCCACGCCAAUCCUCCGUGUCAACAUUGACGCGACUAGAUGCCACUCAUCCCGCUCUGGCUCAUACCUGCAAGAGACGUAACACCCCGUGCUCGCCUGUGGUCAUCCGUGGCCACUCCUUACACCACAGCCCUCCAGCUACUUUCACUAUUUUUAGGGUUUGCUUGUUUGUGUUUUUGGAGCUAGAACCCUGCUAUGUAGUUCAAGGUAGCCUCGAACUCUCCACGACCUCCUGCUUUAGUCUCCCCAGUGCUGGGAUGAAGGAUGCGCAGCACCAGGCCUGGCUCCAGCAGCGAGGAGCAGUAGAACCAAGGCUCAGAGUCAUCAGUUAUGACAGCGACAGCAAUCCCUCUAACCUAGGCGGCUUUAUCCCUCAGAGCUGCGGCACUGAAGAUGCACAUCCUAGCCGUUCAACCUCA